This 253-nucleotide ribosomal RNA is filed under the name uncultured bacterium. RNAcentral's name for it is "partial 16S ribosomal RNA". It matches the Rfam family "Bacterial small subunit ribosomal RNA", at positions 524 to 776 of the family's 1533-position model. The record is from RNAcentral.
UACGAAGGGGGCUAGCGUUGCUCGGAAUCACUGGGCGUAAAGCGUACGUAGGCGGCUUCUUAAGUCAGGGGUGAAAUCCUGGAGCUCAACUCCAGAACUGCCUUUGAUACUGAGGAGCUCGAGUCCGGGAGAGGUGAGUGGAACUGCGAGUGUAGAGGUGAAAUUCGUAGAUAUUCGCAAGAACACCAGUGGCGAAGGCGGCUCACUGGCCCGGUACUGACGCUGAUCUGCGAAAGCUAGGGGAGCAAACAGG